UGCCAUUUUGUACAGAGCAGUGUGCAACAUGAAGCAAAUUAUAGUAAUAUCCUUUCUCUUGAUGGGAUUGGUCGUUUUGGCCGGAACAGUUUCUGCCGAGAAAGUUGAAGAAAUGGAUAUCCCACAUUUCCUAGAGAAGCGCGCAUCGAGGGACUGCAGACAUAGGGAUCGUCAUUGUGACCGCAAGGACCGCUUCAAUGAAUGUGAGCGAGACCGGGAUUGCGAGCGUGGACGCGGCCGGGAACGCGACCGUGGCCAGUGCUGCUUCGAUGGGUGUGGACUACGAUGCGAACGUUAA
Long non-coding RNA from Paramacrobiotus metropolitanus, 298 nucleotides. RefSeq lists it as uncharacterized. The transcript has 3 exons. The record is from RefSeq and is a predicted model, not a curated record. NCBI's taxonomy places the organism in Eukaryota, Metazoa, Tardigrada, Eutardigrada, Parachela, Macrobiotidae.